RNAcentral lists this ribosomal RNA (454 nucleotides) under uncultured bacterium. RNAcentral describes it as "bacterial SSU rRNA". It matches the Rfam family "Bacterial small subunit ribosomal RNA", at positions 355 to 801 of the family's 1533-position model. The record is from RNAcentral.
UGGGGAAUUUUGGACAAUGGGCGCAAGCCUGAUCCAGCCAUGCCGCGUGUGGGAAGAAGGCCUUCGGGUUGUAAACCACUUUUGUCAGGGAAGAAACGGCCUGAUCUAAUACAUUGGGUUAAUGACGGUACCUGAAGAAUAAGCACCGGCUAACUACGUGCCAGCAGCCGCGGUAAUACGUAGGGUGCGAGCGUUAAUCGGAAUUACUGGGCGUAAAGCGUGCGCAGGCGGCUUUGCAAGACAGAUGUGAAGUCCCCGGGCUCAACCUGGGAACUGCAUUUGUGACUGCAAGGCUAGAGUACGGUAGAGGGGGAUGGAAUUCCGCGUGUAGCAGUGAAAUGCGUAGAUAUGCGGAGGAACACCGAUGGCGAAGGCAAUCCCCUGGACCUGUACUGACGCUCAUGCACGAAAGCGUGGGGAGCAAACAGGAUUAGAUACCCCCGUAGUCCCUGAG